Molecule: unclassified non-coding RNA, 821 nt
Filed under: Hevea brasiliensis (rubber tree)
Lineage: Eukaryota; Viridiplantae; Streptophyta; Magnoliopsida; Malpighiales; Euphorbiaceae
Source: RNAcentral
UUCACUUCGAAUAUACCCUCCUCGAUUGUUAAAAGAGAAACAUCGAAAGUCCCUCCACCAAGAUCGAAAAUAAGCACAUUUUUCUCCCCAGUCCUCGACCCCUUCUUGUCCAAACCAUAAGCAAUGGCCGCAGCCGUAGGCUCAUUGAUAAUUCUCAUGACAUUUAGCCCUGCAAUAGCACCAGCAUCCUUGGUGGCCUGCCUUUGCGAGUCAUUGAAAUAAGCAGGAACAGUGAUGACAGCAUUCUUCACGGUGUGACCCAGAUAAGCCUCAGCAAUCUCCUUCAUCUUGGUUAGAACCAUAGAAGAAAUCUCUUCAGGCGCGAAUUGUUUCUCUUCACCUUUAUAUUGCACCACGAUCAUAGGCUUGUCACCAGGGCCAGAAAUGACCUUGAAAGGCCAGUGUUUCAUGUCGCUUUGGACAGUAGGAUCAGAGAAGCGCCUACCAAUGAGACGUUUGGCAUCAAAAACAGUGUUUUGAGGGUUCAUGGCGACUUGGUUCUUGGCCGCAUCGCCAAUAAGACGCUCGGUGUCAGUGAAGGCAACAUAAGAAGGAGUGGUUCUGUUGCCCUGGUCAUUGGCAAUGAUCUCAACACGAUCGAUCUGCCACACGCCCACGCAGCUGUAGGUGGUACCAAGAUCAAUACCAAUAGCCUUGCCUUCAGAUUUUGAGGCCAUUGAAGCAAGAAAGUUUCAAACAAACAGCUCAAGAAAGGAUGAGAUUGACACCGAGAAAGGUUAAUUUGUCUGUGUGAAUGUGGAUUUUUUGCUGUGAUUUCAGUCUUGGAUGGAAAUGGGGGUUGUGGGUUUGAUAUAUAAGAG